GGACAUGAGUUUGGGUGGACUCCGGGAGUUGGUGAUGGACAGGGAGGCCUGGUGUGCUGCAGUCCAUGGGGUCGCAGAGUCGGACACGACUGAGCGACUGAACUGAAAUGAAUUGAAAGGUCUGCUCCCAGCUCUAUAGUGGACCCACAGCGCGGGGGAGGGAACACCAAGGAUUGGGGGGGUCAACCAAGCGCCUCCCCAGGGCGCGGCGUGACGAGGCCCACAGGACCGAAAGGGCGCCGAAACACGGCGUGUACGAAGCCCAGAGCGUCGCCCUCAGCUAAUCCGUCUCGUGGGCCCAGGACGGGGACAGGAAAGUGCCGCGCGGCGCUUCUUGGGCGAGGAAGCGGCCUCAACGCCGCCUCGCGCGCUGAACCGAGGCCUCCGACCCCGCGCGCUCCGGGGGCCCUGAAGGCUGGCUUCUCCCGCCUCAGGGGUGUGCAGGUCUCAGGAAGCACGUUUGCCAGGAGCUCUCUACAGAAAGGCGCGCCUCUUCUGUUUCACUGGAGGAACCUGCCUUCGGCUGCCAGAGAGCCACCUAGUCCCCUCCCUUCCGCCCUCCCCACUUGGCCCGCGCCCCGCCGCGGAGCCUGCAGACUGGAGUUGCAGCGCUCGCAGGAGGAAGCCGGAAACGCCCGGAGCGCCCCCCCACAAUCCUCAGCGCCAGCCUUCGUAGGCUUUCACUCAUCAGAGUGAGCUUCCGAGCGACGAGCCCGGAUAGCUCAGUCGGUAGAGCAUCAGACUUUUAAUCUGAGGGUCCAGGGUUCAAGUCCCUGUUCGGGCGCAGUUUCGACUUUUUAAUACCGGGAUUUUUGAAAGUGAGAACCAGGUAUAGGAGCCUCCGUUUGUUAGCCUCUUUCCUUUAGAAAAGGGAGUGAGAUGUGGCGCGUGUACGCUGCGCACCCAGUCGCCUUCGGGGGAGCAGCCCCGCAGACGCCGCACGCCCUGGUUGCACAGGCCCCGCAAGAUGCGCCGUGCGUGGCGGACGCUCCAAAGCCCCGGCCUCCGGGCAGCCGCCGGCGGCGGCGCGGCCCCCGCCGCUGAGGUGGGCGCGCGUCGGGCAGGCCGGGCUCCCGCAUGGCCGCCGCCCUCCGGCCUCACCCAGAGUGUGGAGCGGGGCAGCCCUGCUUGGUUGCGGAUGCUUUGAGGGCAGAUUAGUGACUUCAGUUAAGAGAUAGCGUGUUCUGCCACCCUGACGGCGGGGCGGCGCCUGCAGGGACCCGCGUCGGUCACGCGCUGGGCACCCGGCGGGCACCUCGUGGGCGGCUCUCGGUCCUCGCGUUGGUGUCCGGGGGAGAGGCCGGGAAGGCGUCCGGGGGCGAGAACAGGCGGCCUGGGACUCGGCGGGACGUGACUGUUCUCAGACGCCAGGAAUGCGGUUUCUUCCUCACUGCUCUGGAAAGCCCGGAGCUAAAAGCGGCGCACUUUGGAAGGUGAAGUUGGCAACUGAAAAAGCAGAGGAGAGACGAGUCCUUUUACAAUUUUUCUUUAAAAUUUUCCUUAACGGGGUUGAAGACGCAGCCGGCGUCGCCGAAAUAGCUCAGUUGGGAGAGCGUUAGACUGAAGAUCUAAAGGUCCCUGGUUCAAUCCCGGGUUUCGGCAGGACUUUUGCUGAGUGGGUCUGGAGUCCUUUCCUUUCCUUCGUGUCUUCCCGAAGGCAAGCCACCACACACGGUGAAGAUGCUAAGAGCUUAAGCCUUUAAAGAAACCUGGACCCGGUCGCAGAGUCAUUCCACUUACACACUGUUGGAUGUUGGGUCGCAGCGUGUGGCCUGACUCGCAUUUAUAAUGUGGUCAGCUCAGGUCUACAGGUGGAAGGUUUUGGAUUUGAUGCGAAAUAUAAUCACGUUGGGUUUGCAGGUUUUUCUUAUUGGAGGCAGACAUGAAGACAGUGUUCAAAAACGUUUGUCUCUACAGCAGGACUGGCAAAUCAGGGUCCCACAGGUGCUUUAGAAGAAUGGUCGGGAUGCUUCCUGGCUGGAGAGGUGAUUUAUAAGCACGUGUCACGGCCUAAAAUAUUUCUUGCAAUCUCAGUUUUCUCACCUCUCUUCUCAUAAACCGUGCGUGAACUGUUACUGCUCAGAGCGAAUGUUUGCAAAUUUCCUGUCAGGAGCAUUACCAUCGUUACUCUAACGACAGGGAUGCAAAUGUCUUGGUUAUGUGUUUAUUGAUGUUUUGAAUAUAAUUCUACAUACUAGUUUUAAGAUUAAAAUAUCCAAAGACCAAGUAUCUAUCAUACAAAGGCUGUAAAAGACUGAGGUUGGGAGAGAAAGUUACCGGGCACUUUCCCCACCCCCCCCCCCCUUUCACUUUUUCUGCAAAACCCACCCCGGUCUGGCCUGCCUGCUGGGUUGUAAACCCCUGACUGAAUCAAGUGUGUUUUGCACAACCUCACCUCAGAGAGUGGUGUGGACACAUUUCAAUUUGUUUCAAGGUUUUAAAAUAACCGCCGCCCGAACAGGGACUUGAACCCUGGACCCUCAGAUUAAAAGUCUGAUGCUCUACCGACUGAGCUAUCCGGGCUCUCGAAAACACUUCCUCUCCUAGUCUAUCCACAGAAAAUAGACCGCGCUGCCGUUCCCAUUGGAUUAAAAUUCUGAGUCUUUUUGUUGAUUUAGUGAGUGGUGAAACUGCAAAAUCAAGUUGGAGCGGGCUUUUGGUGGAAGUCUUUUCUGAUCCCAUCACUGACAGACUAUGAAGAAAAUAUUAGUAAGUGCCGGCCAACCCCUGCUGCGACUAAAGGAGGAUGCUCUCUCACCCCUUGCAUCUCAAGGAAACAUCUCAGGAGGAAUUCUGAUUUAGGACCCUUGGGGGGCCUCCUGGGGAGCUGGGGAUUUCUAAACCCAGUCUUGGUCUGUGAAGAGCCCCAGAGCAUCUUGUGGGUGGAACCUUAUGAAUAAUUGAUUAGGUUUCCUGUCUUUAUUCAUCAGAACCUAUUCAGGACCAAGACACGGCGGGCGUCCUCAGUGAGGCGGGAAGACACACGAGAUAAAUAUCAAGCGCUUGGGUGGUGGGAAGCCGGUCAACACCGGAAGUUAAGGGUCCUAACUAGUCUUCUAGCGGGUGAUGAUUCCCCGCUGAGCUGCCAAUGGUGACUGGGGGCCUGAAGGCUCAGGAAGAGAAUCCUGAGCAGAGGGAAGGGCAGAAGGGAAAAGACCUCCGCUAGUGAAUCUGACGGAGAAGGCAAUGGCACCCCACUCCAGUACUCUUGCCUGGAAAAUCCCAUGGAUGGAGGAGCCUGAAAAAAUCCCUAUAUAUCCUGGGUCCUGCCUUACUGUCUUUGGAACAGUUCCUCAGAGCUACCCGAGAGUCUGCUUCUCUGGCUGGUCUUCAGUAAGGUCCUUGAAUAAAACGUGACUC
Molecule: long non-coding RNA, 3360 nt
Organism: Bubalus bubalis (water buffalo)
Lineage: Eukaryota; Metazoa; Chordata; Mammalia; Artiodactyla; Bovidae
Exons: 2
Source: RefSeq, a predicted model, not a curated record